AUUUACCUUAGAAACAUGAUCUAAUUGUUAAUAAAAAUUUUGAAAUACCUUUUAAUAUCCUACUCAAAGUAUAGUGUAAUAUAAAAAUAUAAGUCGAUAACGAUUACAAUGUAAAAUAAAUAGAGAAGGUAACAACCUUUCCACGAUACUUUUUUUUUGCAUCAAUCAAGAGGACUAACUACUUAUUGAAGAACAAUAGCAAUGUGAGAAGAGAAUAAAUAUGUAGGUUGAU
Molecule: long non-coding RNA, 232 nt
Filed under: Carica papaya (papaya)
Lineage: Eukaryota; Viridiplantae; Streptophyta; Magnoliopsida; Brassicales; Caricaceae
Description: long non-coding RNA (CPAP_LNC006644)
Source: RNAcentral